This 406-nucleotide ribosomal RNA is filed under the name Bathyteuthis berryi (deepsea squid). Its description in RNAcentral is "partial 12S ribosomal RNA". Lineage: Eukaryota; Metazoa; Mollusca; Cephalopoda; Oegopsida; Bathyteuthidae. The record is from RNAcentral.
UUCUUUAUUUUAAAAAUUUUAUUAUUUAAGUAGUAUAAACAUAAUUGAUUAUAUAAAUGUUAUAUAUGUGUUUGAAAUUUAAAAGGCUUGGCGGUGUUAUAUAUCCUUCCAGGGGAGUUUGCUUAUUAAUUUGAUAGUCCUCAAUUUAUACUUACUUUUUUUUGAAAGAUUUCAGUUUGUGUAUUGCUGUCGUCAGUUUAUUUUGUAAAAAUAUUAUAAAAAACUUAAUAAUGAAAUGAUUAUAAUGUCAAGUCAAAAUGCAGCUAAUGGAGAAGGUUUAGAAAGUGAACUACAGUUUAUAAUGUUUAAUCGGAUUAAGUUAUGUAAUUAAUUUAUAAAGUUGGACUUGGUAGUAAUGAAAUUAUACUAUAGUAGUGGGAAUUUGUGAAUUAGGUUUUAUAAUGCG